AACCAUUCUCACCUGCGGCUAGACCUGCGGAGGGAUCAUUAACAAAUUGUCCACCACAAAUGGAUAAUUUUAUCCAUAUCCACCUUGUGUGAAUCAUAGACGUGUUUGUUGGCAGGUUACGGCUUUUUCGUAUUGGAGAGCCGGAGGGUUUCAGCACUGAUGAUUCAGUGCUAGCUCGGCCUGCCAAUUUUAUUAUAUUUAACUUGUCUAAAUAGUAUUGGUCUGAAAUACAUUUAUUUA
RNAcentral lists this unclassified non-coding RNA (240 nucleotides) under soil metagenome. RNAcentral's name for it is "partial contains 5.8S ribosomal RNA, internal transcribed spacer 2, and large subunit ribosomal RNA". The record is from RNAcentral.